AGUGCAAGGGCAGUCAGACUGCCUCAGACACAACACCCAGAAAUCUUCUAAAGCAGCUGUUGAUGUGUCGGCACGAGGCAACUCACGGAGGCAUACCAAGUACCUAUGACAAGUAAGACCGGAGGAGAGGACCAGACAGCAGGGAUGAGAUGGGAAACCAUGAAAGACCCACACAGCUAUGUUGUGGAUUCUUAGGAACUCCCUGUACUGGAGGAGGCGGCGAAAGGGCAGCUCAAAAGGAAAACAAGAGCAGCUUGGUAACCCCUGAGAAGCCUCUGUGCAUGUGGUCUUGUGUACACAAACAGACAUGAAGCCUGAGAGCAAAGCUGAGAAAUACAAUCACUGUGGUUUCUC
This 354-nucleotide long non-coding RNA is filed under the name Mus spretus (western wild mouse). RNAcentral describes it as "lncRNA (ENSMSPG00010026310.1)". The record is from RNAcentral. Lineage: Eukaryota; Metazoa; Chordata; Mammalia; Rodentia; Muridae.